Molecule: microRNA, 21 nt
Filed under: Vriesea carinata
Lineage: Eukaryota; Viridiplantae; Streptophyta; Magnoliopsida; Poales; Bromeliaceae
Description: vca-miR10204-3p
Source: miRBase by way of RNAcentral
UUGACAGCUUUCAAAGGGUUU